Molecule: ribosomal RNA, 428 nt
Filed under: Chloroflexota bacterium
Lineage: Bacteria; Bacillati; Chloroflexota
Description: Chloroflexi bacterium partial 16S ribosomal RNA
Rfam family: Bacterial small subunit ribosomal RNA
Source: RNAcentral
UGGGGAAUAUUGCACAAUGGGCGCAAGCCUGAUGCAGCCAUGCCGCGUGUAUGAAGAAGGCCUUCGGGUUGUAAAGUACUUUCAGCGGGGAGGAAGGGAGUAAAGUUAAUACCUUUGCUCAUUGACGUUACCCGCAGAAGAAGCACCGGCUAACUCCGUGCCAGCAGCCGCGGUAAUACGGAGGGUGCAAGCGUUAAUCGGAAUUACUGGGCGUAAAGCGCACGCAGGCGGUUUGUUAAGUCAGAUGUGAAAUCCCCGGGCUCAACCUGGGAACUGAAUCUGAUACUGGAAAGCUUGAGUGUCGUAGAGGGGGGUAGAAUUCCAGGUGUAGCGGUGAAAUGCGUAGAGAUCUGGAGGAAUACCGGUGGCGAAGGCGGCCCCUGGACGAAGACUGACGCUCAGGUGCGAAAGCGUGGGGAGCAAACAGG